Molecule: ribosomal RNA, 365 nt
Filed under: uncultured bacterium
Lineage: Bacteria
Description: partial 16S ribosomal RNA
Rfam family: Bacterial small subunit ribosomal RNA
Source: RNAcentral
CCUACGGGAGGCAGCAGUGGGGAAUAUUGCGCAAUGGGCGAAAGCCUGACGCAGCGACGCCGCGUGAGGGAUGAAGGUCUUCGGAUCGGAAACCUCUGUCAGCAUGGAAGAACCGUCACUGUGCUAAUCAGCAGUGAAUUUACGGUACCUGCAAAGGAAGCACCUGCUAACGCCGUGCCAGGAGCCGCGGUAAUACGGAGGGUGCGUACGUUAAUCGGAAUUACUGGGCGUAAAGCGCUCGUAGGCGGUAUGUCAAGUCAAGUGUGAAAUCCCCGCGCUCAACGUGGGAACUGCCUUUGAAACUGGCAAACUGGAGUGUGUGAGAGGAUAGUGGAAUUCCAGGUGUAGGGGUGAAAUCCGUAGAU